GACGAACGCUGGCGGCGUGCUUAACACAUGCAAGUCGAACGGAAGGGCCCUGCUUUUGUGGGGUGCUCGAGUGGCGAACGGGUGAGUAACACGUGAGUAACCUGCCCUUGACUUUGGGAUAACUUCAGGAAACUGGGGCUAAUACCGGAUAGGAGCUCCUGCUGCAUGGUGGGGUUGGAAAGUUUCGGCGGUUGGGGAUGGACUCGCGGCUUAUCAGCUUGUUGGUGGGGUAGUGGCUUACCAAGGCUUUGACGGGUAGCCGGCCUGAGAGGGCGACCGGCCACAUUGGGACUGAGAUACGGCCCAGACUCCUACGGGAGGCAGCAGUGGGGAAUAUUGCACAAUGGGCGGAAGCCUGAUGCAGCAACGCCGCGUGCGGGAUGACGGCCUUCGGGUUGUAAACCGCUUUCGCCUGUGACGAAGCGUGAGUGACGGUAAUGGGUAAAGAAGCACCGGCUAACUACGUG
Molecule: ribosomal RNA, 467 nt
Filed under: uncultured bacterium
Lineage: Bacteria
Description: partial 16S ribosomal RNA
Rfam family: Bacterial small subunit ribosomal RNA
Source: RNAcentral